UACGGAAGAAGCAAGCGUUAUCCGGAAUUACUGGGCGUAAAGAGUUGCGUAGGUGGCAUAGUAAGUCAGCAGUGAAAGCGUGGGGCUCAACCCCAUACACAUUGUUGAAACUGCUAAGCUAGAGGAUGAGAGAGGUUAUUGGAAUUCCCAGUGUAGGAGUGAAAUCCGUAGAUAUUGGGAGGAACACCGAUGGCGUAGGCAGAUAACUGGCUCAUUCCUGACACUAAGGCACGAAAGCGUGGGGAGCAAACGGG
This 254-nucleotide ribosomal RNA is filed under the name uncultured prokaryote. RNAcentral's name for it is "partial 16S ribosomal RNA". It matches the Rfam family "Bacterial small subunit ribosomal RNA", at positions 524 to 776 of the family's 1533-position model. The record is from RNAcentral.